RNAcentral lists this ribosomal RNA (554 nucleotides) under Mucor sp. BJ13. RNAcentral's name for it is "eukaryotic LSU rRNA". The stretch from base 166 to 318 matches the Rfam family "5.8S ribosomal RNA". Lineage: Eukaryota; Fungi; Mucoromycota; Mucoromycetes; Mucorales; Mucoraceae. The record is from RNAcentral.
AAACUGUAUUAUUAUUUGACGUUCGAGGGAUGUUUCAAUGUUAUAAGGAUAGACAUUGGAAAUGUUAACCGAGUCAUAAUCAGGUUUAGGCCUGGUAUCCUAUUAUUAUUUACCAAAUGAAUUCAGAAUUAAUAUUGUAACAUAGACUUAAAAAAUCUAUAAAACAACUUUUAACAACGGAUCUCUUGGUUCUCGCAUCGAUGAAGAACGUAGCAAAGUGCGAUAACUAGUGUGAAUUGCAUAUUCAGUGAAUCAUCGAGUCUUUGAACGCAACUUGCGCUCAUUGGUAUUCCAAUGAGCACACCUGUUUCAGUAUCAAAACAAACCCUCUAUCCAACUUUUGUUGAAUAGGAUUAUUGGGGGCCUCUCGAUCUGUAUUGAUCUUGAAACCCUUGAAAUAUACUAAGGCCUGAACUUGUUUAAUGCCUGAACUUUUUUUUAAUAUAAAGGAAAGCUCUUGUAAUUGACUUUGAUGGGGCCUCCCAAAUAAAUCUCUUUAAAUUUGAUCUGAAAUCAGGUGGGAUUACCCGCUGAACUUAAGCAUAUCAAUACGC